UGAAGAUUUCAAUGAGCACCCACAGUCGAAAGGCCCUUCCAAGUCAUGGCUCCUAUAGUUUCAGCCGGAUCUGUUGGCAGCCGAUGCUGAUGAGUACAGCAUGACUAGAUCAUUCGAGGCAUACCUGCUGUGGUUGUUUGGGUACAUCAUGUUCAACAACUCACACGGCCACUGUGUGGAUAGGGUGCUUCUGCCCUACGCACAGAAGGUCGUCGAUGCAGAUGAGGAUGUCAUACCCUUAUAUAGUUGGGGUUCAGCGGUUCUUGCAUGCACAUAUCGUGGACUCUACAAGGCAUCACGGCAGAAUGAUAGAAAUGCUGUCCUAACGGGGUGCCCAAUUCUGCUACAGCUUUGGUCUUAUGAGAGGAUUGCUAUCGGUCGUCCCAUGAUUGACUAGUCACCGUACAAGCCGGAUAUGUACGGUGACACGGAGGACGACAGACCCACCAUGGGGACUUUCUGGUACUCUCGACAGAAAACAUGGGCACAUGUACAGACCCGGCGGUCUUAUCCUGAGUUUGUUG
Molecule: long non-coding RNA, 524 nt
Organism: Panicum virgatum (switchgrass)
Lineage: Eukaryota; Viridiplantae; Streptophyta; Magnoliopsida; Poales; Poaceae
Exons: 3
Source: RefSeq, a predicted model, not a curated record